AAAUUGAAGAGUUUGAUCAUGGCUCAGAUUGAACGCUGGCGGCAGGCCUAACACAUGCAAGUCGAGCGGAAACGAGUUAACUGAACCUUCGGGGAACGUUAACGGCGUCGAGCGGCGGACGGGUGAGUAAUGCCUAGGAAAUUGCCCUGAUGUGGGGGAUAACCAUUGGAAACGAUGGCUAAUACCGCAUAAUGCCUUCGGGCCAAAGAGGGGGACCUUCGGGCCUCUCGCGUCAGGAUAUGCCUAGGUGGGAUUAGCUAGUUGGUGAGGUAAGGGCUCACCAAGGCGACGAUCCCUAGCUGGUCUGAGAGGAUGAUCAGCCACACUGGAACUGAGACACGGUCCAGACUCCUACGGGAGGCAGCAGUGGGGAAUAUUGCACAAUGGGCGCAAGCCUGAUGCAGCCAUGCCGCGUGUAUGAAGAAGGCCUUCGGGUUGUAAAGUACUUUCAGCAGUGAGGAAGGUGGUGUAGUUAAUAACUGCAUCAUUUGACGUUAGCUGCAGAAGAAGCACCGGCUAACUCCGUGCCAGCAGCCGCGGUAAUACGGAGGGUGCGAGCGUUAAUCGGAAUUACUGGGCGUAAAGCGCAUGCAGGUGGUCUGUUAAGUCAGAUGUGAAAGCCCGGGGCUCAACCUCGGAAUUGCAUUUGAAACUGGCAGACUAGAGUACUGUAGAGGGGGGUAGAAUUUCAGGUGUAGCGGUGAAAUGCGUAGAGAUCUGAAGGAAUACCGGUGGCGAAGGCGGCCCCCUGGACAGAUACUGACACUCAGAUGCGAAAGCGUGGGGGGAGCAAACAGGAUUAGAUACCCUGGUAGUCCACGCCGUAAACGAUGUCUACUUGGAGGUUGUGGCCUUGAGCCGUGGCUUUCGGAGCUAACGCGUUAAGUAGACCGCCUGGGGAGUACGGUCGCAAGAUUAAAACUCAAAUGAAUUGACGGGGGCCCGCACAAGCGGUGGAGCAUGUGGUUUAAUUCGAUGCAACGCGAAGAACCUUACCUACUCUUGACAUCCAGAGAAGCCAGUAGAGAUACAGGUGUGCCUUCGGGAACUCUGAGACAGGUGCUGCAUGGCUGUCGUCAGCUCGUGUUGUGAAAUGUUGGGUUAAGUCCCGCAACGAGCGCAACCCUUAUCCUUGUUUGCCAGCGAGUAAUGUCGGGAACUCCAGGGAGACUGCCGGUGAUAAACCGGAGGAAGGUGGGGACGACGUCAAGUCAUCAUGGCCCUUACGAGUAGGGCUACACACGUGCUACAAUGGCGCAUACAGAGGGCAGCAAGCUAGCGAUAGUGAGCGAAUCCCAAAAAGUGCGUCGUAGUCCGGAUUGGAGUCUGCAACUCGACUCCAUGAAGUCGGAAUCGCUAGUAAUCGUGGAUCAGAAUGCCACGGUGAAUACGUUCCCGGGCCUUGUACACACCGCCCGUCACACCAUGGGAGUGGGCUGCAAAAGAAGUAGGUAGUUUAACCUUCGGGAGAACGCUUACCACUUUGUGGUUCAUGACUGGGGUGAAGUCGUAACAAGGUAGCCCUAGGGGAACCUGGGGCUGGAUCACCUCCUUA
Molecule: ribosomal RNA, 1555 nt
Filed under: Vibrio europaeus
Lineage: Bacteria; Pseudomonadati; Pseudomonadota; Gammaproteobacteria; Vibrionales; Vibrionaceae
Description: bacterial SSU rRNA
Rfam family: Bacterial small subunit ribosomal RNA
Source: RNAcentral